GAUGAACGCUAGCGGCAGGCUUAAUACAUGCAAGUCGAGGGACAGCACAGGUAGCAAUACUGGGUGGUAACCGGCAAACGGGUGCGGAACACGUACACAACCUUCCUUUAAGUGGGGGAUAGCCCAGAGAAAUUUGGAUUAAUACCCCGUAAUAUAGUUGAAUGGCAUCAUUUGAUUAUUAUAGCUACGGCGCUUAAUGAUGGGUGUUCGGCUGAUUAGAUAGUUGGCGGGGUAACGGCCCACCAAGUCUACGAUCAGUAGCUGACGUGAGGGCAUGAUCAGCCACACGGGCACUGGGACACGGUCCCGACUCCUGAGGGAGGCAGCAGUAAGGAAUAUUGGUCAAUGGACGCAAGUCUGAACCAGCCAUGCCGCGUGAAGGAUUAAGGUCCUCUGGAUUGUAAACUUCUUUUAUUUGGGACGAAAAAGGGUCUUUCUAGACCAACUGACGGUACCAGAUGAAUAAGCACCGGCUAACUCCGUGCCAGCAGCCGCCGUAA
Molecule: ribosomal RNA, 500 nt
Filed under: uncultured bacterium
Lineage: Bacteria
Description: partial 16S ribosomal RNA
Rfam family: Bacterial small subunit ribosomal RNA
Source: RNAcentral